Molecule: ribosomal RNA, 496 nt
Filed under: uncultured bacterium
Lineage: Bacteria
Description: partial 16S ribosomal RNA
Rfam family: Bacterial small subunit ribosomal RNA
Source: RNAcentral
GAUGAACGCUGGCGGCGUGCCUAAUACAUGCAAGUCGAGCGAACAGACGAGGAGCUUGCUCCUCUGACGUUAGCGGCGGACGGGUGAGUAACACGUGGAUAACCUACCUAUAAGACUGGGAUAACUUCGGGAAACCGGAGCUAAUACCGGAUAAUAUAUUGAACCGCAUGGUUCAAUAGUGAAAGACGGUUUUGCUGUCACUUAUAGAUGGAUCCGCGCCGCAUUAGCUAGUUGGUAAGGUAACGGCUUACCAAGGCAACGAUGCGUAGCCGACCUGAGAGGGGGAUCGGCCAACCUGGAACGGAGACCGGGUCCAGACCCCUACGGGGGGCAGCAGUGGGGAAUCUUCCGCAAGGGGCGAAAGCCUGACGGAGCAACGCCGCGUGAGGUAUGAAGGUCUUCGGAUCGUAAAACUCUGUUAUUAGGGAAAAAAAAAUGUGUAAGUAACUAUGCCCGUCUGGACGGUACCAAAUCAGAAAGCCACGGCUAACUACGU